CCUACGGGUGGCAGCAGUGAGGAAUAUUGGUCAAUGGACGAGAGUCUGAACCAGCCAAGUAGCGUGAAGGAUGACUGCCCUAUGGGUUGUAAACUUCUUUUAUAUGGGAAUAAAACGUUCCACGUGUGGGAUUUUGUAUGUCCCAUAUGAAUAAGGAUCGGCUAACUCCGUGCCAGCAGCCGCGGUAAUACGGAGGAUCCGAGCGUUAUCCGGAUUUAUUGGGUUUAAAGGGAGCGUAGGUGGAUUGUUAAGUCAGUUGUGAAAGUUUGUGGCUCAACCGUAAAAUUGCAGUUGAAACUGGCAGUCUUGAGUACAGUAGAGGUGGGCGGAAGGCGUGGUGUAGCGGUGAAAUGCUUAGAUAUCACGAAGAACUCCGAUUGCGAAGGCAGUUCACUGGACUGCAACUGACACUGAGGCUCGAAAGUGUGGGUAUCAAACAGGAUUAGAUACCCGGGUAGUC
Molecule: ribosomal RNA, 460 nt
Filed under: uncultured bacterium
Lineage: Bacteria
Description: partial 16S ribosomal RNA
Rfam family: Bacterial small subunit ribosomal RNA
Source: RNAcentral